Arvicola amphibius (Eurasian water vole) is the source of this 1411-nucleotide long non-coding RNA. RefSeq lists it as uncharacterized. The transcript is spliced from 5 exons. The record is from RefSeq and is a predicted model, not a curated record. Lineage: Eukaryota; Metazoa; Chordata; Mammalia; Rodentia; Cricetidae.
UGUGUUCUCUCUGCCCUGUGUUCCCACUCACUCUUAGGCCCCCUGUGGUGACUUCUUAGGCUACUUCUUUCCUUCUGGGGUGUUUCACUAGGUCCUGCACCAUGGGAGACCACUUUCUGUCUGUCCAAGUUUAACCCUCGGUAAACCGUCAUGGCUCUGUAAACCGGCAGGGCACUUUGCAGACGCACGUCAAAAGUGCUUCCAGCUGCUUUUCUUUGCCCUUAAGGAGCCUUGAUGGAGGUCGUUUGGAAAUAAGAGUCAGAUUCCUUGAGCUCAUACGGAGCGGAGCGCUUUAUCCCUGAAGCUGUGCUGCAACGGGGAGAACGGAGGUCUCAGGGAGGGAGCCGUGAACCCACAGAACUACACCGCUCCGUGGGCGGAGCAGGAAAAGUGGAUUCAGACUGUGAAGGCUAUCUCCCCAGAGUCAGCGGGAAGAGCAACAGCGGGAGUCCGGCGUUCUGAGAGGGUCUCGUGUGUCCUAGGCUGGCCUCAAACCUACCUGAUUGGAGGCUGAGGAAGACCUGGCAACCCUGAUCCUCGUGUCUCUACCUCCCAAGUCCUGGAAUCCAGACACGGGUUCCCCAGCCCUAGCUGUGUUUUGAUCAGAAACAUAAGCAUCUACGUAUCUUCUUGUCUCUGAGCAGCCCCCUCCCGCCGCGGGCUGCCUCACUCUUGGGUGGUUGGUCUUCCUGACUUACAAGAGUUCUGCAAAGGUUCUGCUGUUCUGACAAUGCCUGAGCAUCAGCCGCCCACUGUCCUGUGGCACCGUAGGUCUAGGAAGAGGGUUGCUGCUUAGCGGCUAGAAGAAAUGAGGCAUCACCAGGUGGUGGCGCACGCCUUUAAUCCCAGUACUCAGGAGGCAGAGGCAGGGUGAUCUAUGUGAGUCUGAGGCAGCCUGGGAUACAAAGAAACAAAACAAGCCUCAAAGAAGAAAGGUACAAGGAUCCCAGACCAGCUGCCAGAGCCUGUGGCUUGCAGUCCGGCCUCAGAGCGCCACAAGCUUUAGACCCAGUUCCAGGGGCUGGUUGGGAUAGAAGCAACGCCUCUGCUCCAAAAAGGCACUUACCUUGUACCUCCUCCAAACCCAGAAAAUACACUGUGACAGCCACUGCUAGACGCAGCCCCGCCAUCAGCUGAACCCCUGUGCUCCUCCACAAGCCUUGAGUCGGUGUGGGCCUCACUUGGUGGAAGAGUCCACUUUGGCGUUCUGUAGCCUUAAGACUAGCUGCCAUAGCUACAAUCCAGAGUUCACCUAUGCUGGUCCCAACAACGUAGGGAAUGCCUCCCCCCCUCCUCCACCAGCACCAACCAUACAGCCAUGCAGCAAGCCUGGGGGGGAGGAGUGGGGAGGGGGCGAAACCAAAUUCAACCUGUCACCUACUUCUACAAAUAAAGCUUUAUCGGAACUCAA